CAUAAAACACAUUUUUACGUUUAAAAGCAUAGUCGUUCCUUGGCUUUGGCUGAGUUCACCCUCACGUGGUGGUUUAGCGUGUAGUGAACUCUAAAGCUUUACCUUAGGAGAUACCCUCUGCGCCUCUCGUACUGAGGUAAAAUAUAAUCGGGUUUACCGUGCCUCUCUCUAAUAGGCAGGUCCAUGAAAACCCACCACUGCAGUGACUAAUCAAUAUCCCACCAAAUCAAUAAAAGUUUUGAUAGCAUGACAUGGCAAUUAUAUUACUACCAGCCUGUUAAGGCAUAACAAACAGUUCAUACAAUUUCAACACAAUUUCCAAUUUAGCCAUUCAUGCCAAUAUCACCAUAAGCCAUUCAAUUCAAACCAUAAAUUUACAACACAAUCAAACAGUCUCCAAUUACUCAAUUUCUAAAAUCAUCAUUCAAUUUCAAAAUGAUUUAUAAAACUCAUUUCAUUUAAUCACAUUUUACUUAUAAAACAGAAAGAUUUACCAUUUAAACUCAUUUUUCUAUAAAAUCACAAAAACAAAUAAAAACUACUUUAGAUAAUUAAAAUGAUAAUAAGGUUACUCACAAUAUCGAGAGUCGAAGUACUCCUAGUCUCAAUUUUCAGGUACAAUUUUCUUACCCUUAUCGGAAGUUUCACCACCUAAACAUAAUGCACAACAAGCAAUUUACUAUAUUUGUACUAAACCGUUAUAAAACUAAUUUAGGCUUUAUAUGAAUGCAUGAAAUGGGAUGGGAAAUGUUCGGUUUAUUAUCUAAAUAUGGUGUUCUACGUAGCUUCAAUUAUGUAUCGAAAUAAAAUGGUAUUGGCCUAAUUCGAUCUAUACACCGAUUAAUUGGCCAAUACAUCCAAUUCAACUCCAAUUAACUUCAUUCCACUUCCAACACUCCAUGUAAAACCCGACCCUAUAAACACGUCAUGACAUACAUGCACUAAGUAGCAUGUUAUUAUGCUAGAAAAGUCCUAAGAAUAGACGAAACCCGGUAUUGUACCUAACGGUACACUUGAGUUAAUUUAACCUCGAACUAGUUCAAAUAGGAAUCGUAGAAUGAAAUUUGAUAUUUUACAGUCCAAGAAUGACUAAAAAUGAUUGUUCAGAGUUCGAGGGUUCAUUUGGAAAAAAAUUGAAAAUUUUGAUGUUUAGGGAUAAAAUCGUCAUUUUGCCACCUAAGAUAAUAAUUUGAUCAUGGAGUGAAAUUUUUGACCAAGAUUAACUAUUUGGAGUAUAAUUUAAUGAUAAGAAGUGAAAAAUUUCAAUUUCGGUAAUUUUUGAAACAUAGGGGCAAAACGGUAAUUUUGUCACCUUGGGGUAAAAACCGUAAUUUUCAUCACCCAAAACUUGUCAAAAUCAUACGAUUUACUUAUCUUUGGUAUGAAUAACUAUGGUAUUUUAAGUGGUGAAAAAUUGAAGUUUAAAAAACCAAAUUUUAAAAACGGGCCAACGAGAAAGUGACACAUGGCACUUUUUAAUGAUUUAAUAUUAUUUUAAUGAAAAUUCAGCCCAUUUAAACCCCAUAUUAAGUGAUGGCCGGCCAUAAGGAGAGAACAAGAGAGAAAUAGAGAGGAAAGGAAGAAAAGCGAAAAACCAAAGGAAAACUAGAAAAUUCAAAGGGGAAAUCGCGUUUUUCAUCCGUUUACAUGUCUAACGGUAAGAUUUUUUGACUUUAGCUUGAUUUCUACCUUUUCUAUGCCUUUAUUUUCAUUUAGCAUGCUUGAGGAGAGAGAUCAAAAAGUGAAACCAAGGGCUGGCCGAAUUUCAAGGGGAGAGAUUUUGAAAUUUUUAAGUUUUGAUUCUUAGUUAAAUUAGUAGUUUUAGUUAGUUAAAUGUGUAUAGAAAUCAAAUUGGGUAAGAAAGCAUAAAAUUCUCACAAUACCCACCCUUGGCCGAAUAUGCAUUGAUGUACAAUGAUGAUGAACUGAUUUUUAUUCUAAGAGAAAUGAAGAGAAAAUGAUGAAAAAUGGUUAAAUGUGAUAGAAAAACAAAGUGAAAAAUUAACCAAGUAAAUGUCUCAUUUUUGACCGAAUUUUCCAAGAAGGAAAGUGAGCUGAUUUUUGUGAUUUUAGAAGGUUAUUGGCUGAUAUUUAAUGGUUAGAAAUGUUGGAGAGAAAAUGGGACAAUUUAGAGCUAAAAUGGAGCGCGUUAGCAAUUUAACGGGUAAAGUGCAAAAAAUAGGUUAAUACCGCGUUUAAGCCGUUUUAGGCUAUUGCAUUUCAUACCAUGCAUUAGUAUAGGAUUUAAGUCAAUUAUAUAGUGAUUUAGCAUCAAUGUGGUGAAUUGGAUAAAUUUUGCAAUGUGUUUAGGAGGAGAGCCUUCCGGUAAAGGCAAAGAAGUCAUACCCCGACGAACAGUGAUCGGGGCACCUAAAAAGCAAUUAGUUUAUACAAACGGUGAGUAAACUUAUUAUUAUUGUAAAUUAUCUAGAGUUUAUUUUUAAAUGCUCUUCAUGGAUUUUAUGAAAUGAAAAUGAGAUUAAAAUAGAAUUUUUGAUGUUUUAGAGAUAAAUGUGACAAAUAAAAAUAUAUUUGUGUUGAUUAUGAAAUUGAGUAAUUGGAGGCUGUCAAUUAUUUUGAAAUAUAUAUUUUCCUAUGAAUGGCUUAUCAUAUAUGAGUAUAUGUGGCUAUAUGUUAUAAUUGCAUUGGAAAUUUAUGUAAGUUGUCUUUUAAUAUGCAGGUUAGGUAAAUAAAUAAAAGCCACAUUAUACUGUCGAAAUUUUAUUAAAAUUGGUGGGUUUAGUCACUGCAGUGACGGAUUUCUAUGGAUUGCCUAUUAGAGGGGCACGAUAAACCCGGUUAUAUAGUUGCUCCGGUAGUAGAGGCGAGAAGGGUAACUCCCGGGGUAGUGUUAGAGCUCACUUCACAUCGAACUCCUACGUGAAUGUGUAACUCGGCCAACGCCAAGGAACAACUUGUUUUAAAAAUAAAAAUGUGUUUCACGUGUAAAUAUCUUAACAACCUUGACAGACUCGGUUAGAUGCCUCGGCCAAGGUAUCCCCGAAGAUUAGUUUUGGCUUGAGCCUUAUUUUUAAUAAAAGUCAGAAGCCUUAACAACUGUUUUGGUAAAUUACAAAUAUUUUAUGAUUUAAGAAAUAAAUUGAAAACCUUAUGAAAUGGUUUGUAAUUUGUUGUUUAAACUUGCCUCUAUGUUACUCGCCUUUAAAUAUUUAUGAUAAUGUCUGUUUACUCAUUAGGAUUGCGAAAUCUCACCCACCUCCUUUUCAAAUAUUUCAGGCCAGUGGUAGCUUAUAGAUACCGAUUUUGUCGAGGAUUCCAGUUGACCCCUCUAUCUCACAGACAAUAGGUUACUAUCACCAACACUUGUUGUAUUUAGGGGCCACAUGUCAUUGUAAUUAUUAUUGUACAUUAUAACUUUGUAAAUUAUUAUAUGUAUGAAUUUAUUGUACUUUCACAUUACAAAAGAUUUUUACACGUGUUUCUAUAAAUAUUAUUUUAUAUAAAAAUAUUAUAUUUAAUCAAUAUUUUGAAUAGUAAUAUUUGUCUAUAAAUCCUUUUAAAAUAAUUUUGUCUUUUGAUUUACUUGAGCCGAAAAUGACUGAAAAUUGUUUAAAACUUAUAUGUAAGCCUUGCGAGGUUCCGAUUGGUAUUCCGGGUAAUGAGUAUCAAUUGGGACAUCGCGACGGUUGUCAUGGGCCCGAGGGAGGUUCCGGGUCAUGACAAUUCAGUUGGUAUCAGAGCAAAGGAAAAGAUAACCCUAUUCUUGAGAACUCUCGCACAUGAUCUAUGGCGAAGUAUGACUCUCCGCCCAGGAGCUUGGAAGAUGAGGGAAGGGACUGCUUUACACUUGGGUGGGAGUGAAGUACACCUCUUGCCGAGUGCUCUGAUAGGUACCAUUGAAUGCCGCCGGUGUCCAGAGGGGUGGAAGAAUUUAAUUGGUAUUAGAGCUUUUGGUUUAAAAGCUUAUGGUUUUGAAAGAAGUUUUUUAUUUUUAAAGUUCUUGGAUUCAAAGUUAUUUUAAAAUAAUUUACAAUGUCAGUGUGGCCCAGUUAAGAUUAGUUAGUUGCAUGCAGUUGCAUACAGAGUCUUAAGUCGUCUAAACCAAUUUCGUUCUUUCUGUAGAUCAUUAUGCCUCCUCGACGUGAGCUACCACCUAUCACUAGAUCUAUCGGUAGGGGAAGAGGUCACCCUAGACAGAGUCGGUCGAAUUCCAUAGAAAAGGAGUCGGCUACAUCUUCUUUUAGAGCAGUUCCUACUGCUGAGUCUACUGACAUUCCUAUACCUCCUCCACUACCUGUUGCUGCUCCUGGCAUACCUGCCAUGUCACCCGAGGCAGCUCAGGCAUUAGCGAUUUUUCUCGCUACUCUUACGAGUCAAGCUCAGGCUGGUUCAGUUUCACCCGUUGUUUCCCCUGUAACAGCCCCAGUACCACCACCUCCUAUUUCACCCUAAACACCGGACAUCUCCAUUUCUAAGAAAUUGAAAGAAACUAGACAGUUAGGUUGCGUCUCGUUUACUAAUGAGUUGGAUACGACCGCAGCUAGGGAUUAGGUUAUUCAAGUAUCGGAGACACUGGCAGAUAUGGGAUUAGAUGAUGAGAUGAAAUUGAAGGUGGUUACACGGUUAUUUGAUAAGAGAGCCCGUACUUGGUGGAGUUCAGUAAAGUCUCGCUCUUCUAUACCGCUGGCUUGGAUGGAUUUCCUCCAAGAGUUCGAUGGUCAGUACUACACCUAUUUCCAUCAGAAAGAGAAAAAGAGAGAAUUUCUGAGCUUGAAACAAGGGAACAUGACCAUUGAAGAGUAUGAAACUCACUUUAACGAGCUGACGCUUUAUGUACCUAAGUUGGUGAGAUUGGAGCAAGACCAAGUAAACUACUUUAAAGAGGGAGGUUCCGGGUCGUGACACUCCAAGUCAUCAAUUACAAGUUAAAUAAUAUGUAAUAUCACAAAAACCCAUCAUCAAUAUCUUCCUUGUAAAAUUCGGCCAUUGAAGGUUUAAUGUAGAACAUGUAAUUUUUCAUGCUUGAUUUUUACACCCUACAUCAUAAAACAACUAAAAACACCUAAAUAGCAUGAAAUUCAUCAAAGUCCAUUAUCCAAUUUCUCUCUUGAAAAUUUCAGCCAAGGACUGUGGGUGAAGGGCAUGAAAUUUCUUGCUUGUUUUUCAUGCUAAACAUCACCAAACAACUAAAAACACUAAGAUACCUUGAAAUCUAACCAAAUAAAUCAUCAAAUCUUCUCUCCCUAAAUUCGGUCAGCCAUGAAUCCUUCAUGAGAUCUUGAAUUUUAACCAUGGUAAUUGAAAAAGAAUGCAUAGGAAAGGUAGAUCACAAGCUAGAAUUAAGAAAUUUUACCUUUACUUGCUUAAUUCCUUGAAAUCCAAUGAAUUUUCUCUUGAUUUUCUUCUCUAGGGUUUGUUCUAUGCUUUUUGCCUUUUGUUCUUGCCUUGGCCGACCAAGAGAAAUGAGAUGGGAGAGUUUUAGUUGUGUUUAUAAAGGAAAAUAUAAUAAUAUUAAAGCUUGACACUUGUCACCAUGUAAUUGGUCCAUACAUAAAACUUAAUAAUUAAGCAUUUCUUCUCCACCACAUAAAAUCCCUCAAUUAUCCAAAAUAUAAAAUGAAUUUCAUGGGUUUGACAAGUGUCAAAGUGGUGCAAAAUUCCAAAAAUUCUAAUUACCUCCUUAUGGACACGUGAAAUGACCUUUUUGCCCUUAUGUUCGAAAAAUUAUCGAAAUUAAAAUUUUUCACUUCUCAAGCUCAAAUUAUGUUCCAAAAUGGCAAACUAGAUCAAAAUUUCAUCCACCAUCCCAAAUUUGCCCUCGGGUGGAAAAAUGACCAUUUUACCCCUACAUUAUGAAAAUUCCAAUUUAACUCCAAAUCAAUCCCCGAACUCUAAAUCACCAUAUUAAGUCAUUCUAAAAUUCAAUAACUCUUAAUUGCAUCUUAAAAUCUUUAUUUGAACUAGUUCAAGGCUUAAAUCAACUUAGUUGUACCACUAGGUACACUACCGACUUUUGACGAUUUUUCCAAUGUAUUCAAGUAUGCAAGCAUGUUGUCAAAGACAUGAAUGACAUGGUAAGUAUAUUAUAGGGCUGGGCUUGACAGCAUUGUCCCCCUUAAAAUAAAAUUUUGAUCGAACUCGGAGAAAAGGUAGGGGUAUUGUCUUCUCAUUUGAUGCUUGACUUCCCAUGUUAUCUCCUCCAUACGGGCAUUCUUCCACAACACUUUAACCAUUGGAAUGCUCUUGUUCCUUAAUACUCGAUCCUUUCGAUCUAUAAUACGUACAGGCUGCACCUCGAACUUUAAAUCUUCGUGCAACUCAAUCAAAGGCGUCUCAAAGAUAUGGGAGGGAUCUGGUACAUACUUCUUCAGCAUCGAGACGUGAAAGACGUUGUGAAUCUAAUCCAACUCUGGGGGUAACUCCAAUCUAUAUGCCACUAGCCUAAUCCUUUCAAUAACACGAAAGGGUCUAAUGUAUCUCGAAUUGAGCUUUCCUCACUUUGCGAACCGGAUCACACCUUUCAUUGUCCAACAAGAUACCAGAAUUUACCACAAUAGUAAUUUCAAAUAAAACUUAAUAUCUCAAAGUAUUCAAAUUAUUACCUUUUCAACGAAAGACCUUAAGAAAAUCUUUAUCAUCAAUUUCAAAUUCUAGAUUUUUUCUCUGUCUAUCAAAGUAACUUUUCUGCCUGUCUUGAGCGAUCUUUAAUAGCCUUGGAUGACCUUGAUCUUGUCAUUAAUCACAUCAAUCAGAUCUACAUUAAACAAUUUCCUCUCACCCACUUCAUCCCAACAGAGUGGAGUUCAACACUUUCUCCCAUACAGAGCCUCAUAUGGUGCCAUCCUAAUACUAGAUUGAAAACUAUUGUUAUAUGCAAAUUCCACCAACGGCAAGUGUCUAUCCCAACUGCCCGUAAAGUCAAUGACAUAAGCUCGUAGCAUAUCCUUCAAAGUCUUAUGGUCAUUUCAGACUAACCAUCUGUCUGUGGAUGAAAGGCAGUACUAAACCUCAAAUUAGUUUCGAGAGCUUCUUGGAAUUUUUGCCAAAAUUGAGAAGUGAAUCGGGGGUCUCGAUCUGACACGAUAGAAACUGGAACUCCAUGUAACCUCAUUAUCUCAUCUAUAUAAAGCUUAGCCAGCUUCUCAAUGGAAUACGUGCUAUGGAUAGCCAAGAAAUGGGCAAACUUAGUCAAUCUAUCCACAAUCACCCAUAUAGCAUCCUUCCCACUCUGCGUCCGCGGCAAACCCAAUACAAAGUCCAUAGUCACGUGUUCCCACUUCCAUUCUGAAAUAGGUAAAGGCUGAAGAGUACCCGAUGGUUUCUAAUGUUCCGCCUUGAUGUGUUGGCAUGUGAGACAUUUCACUACAAACUCUGCUACGUCUCGUUUCAUACCCGGCCACCAAUAACUUUCCUUGAUAGUUCUGUACAUUUUGGUGCUUCCGGGAUGUAAAGCAUAGGCAGAAGAAUGAGCUUCCUCCAAAAUAGCUCGUCUCAACUGAUCAUCCUUAGGGACACAAACCCGGUUCCUAAGCAUUAAGAUACCAUCAUCACCAAGUCUGAACUCAUUAGUCUCUCCAUCUCGCAACUUUUGAACUUCUCGUUUCAACUCAUCAUCAGACUUCAGCAAUUCUCUUAUUUGAUUGAACAAUGAAGGUCUCACAACGAAACUAGCAAGUAGGGUUCCAUCCUCACCAUUUCUUAAUUAGAUUCCUAAAGAUUUUAUCUCAAGUAAUAUCGAAAAAUAAGAACUCCGAAGUGUUGCUAAUGAAGAUGAGGAUUUAUGACUUAAAGCAUCUACUACAACAUUUGCCUUCCCAAGGUGAUAAUCAAUCACUAAGUCGUAAUCCUUAGUCAACUCUAACCAUCGUCUCUGUCUCAAGUUAAGCUCUUUCUAGGUGAGCAAGUAUUUCAAACUCUUAUAGUCGGUAAAAAUCCGACAACACUCACCAUAUAAGUAAUGCCUCUAAAUUUUCAAUACAAAGACUAAUGCUGCUAACUCUAAAUCAUGGGUAGGGUAAUUCUUCUCAUGCUUCUUCAACUGUCGGGAAGCAUAAGCUAUCACUUUCUCAUCUUGCAUUAACACGCACCCUAAUCCCAAUUUAAAGGCAUCACUGUACACUACAAAUUCUUUUCCAUUAACAGAAAGUGUCAAAACGAGAGCGGAGGUUAACUGAUUCUUCAACUCCUGAAAUCGACUCUCACAGACAUCAUCCCACUCGAACUUAACUCCUUUACGAGUCAAACAAAUCAAAGGAGCAGCUAUCAAUGAGAAUCCCUGAACAAACCUCCUAUAAUAACCGACUAAGCCAAGGAAACUCCGAAUCUCUGUUACCGUUUUCGGUUGCUCCCAUUGUAAAAUUGUCUCAAUCUUCUUGGGAUUGACAUAAAUUCUAGCUCCAAACACAACAUGUCUCAAGAAAACCACUUCCUUCAACCAAAACUCACAUUUAGGAAACUUGGUAUAGAGUUGUUUUUUGCGUAAAGUUUGCAGCACAAUGCGCAAAUGGGAAGCAUGUUCGUUGUCAUUCUUCGAAUAGACCAGAAUGUCAUCUAUGAAUACUAUCACGAACUUAUCUAAGUAUGGAUGGAACACCCUAUUCAUAAGAUCCACAAAAGCUGCUGAGGUAUUAGUCAGACCAAACGGCAUAACCAAAAACUCAUAAUGCCCAUAACGCGUCCUGAAAGCAGUUUUGGGUACAUCCUGCUCCUUAAUCUUCAACUGAUAAUACCCAAACCUCAAAUCAAUCUUAGAAAACACCAUAGCACCUCGUAACUGAUCAAAAAGAUCAUCGAUCCGUGAUAGAGGGUAUUUAUUCUUGAUGGUCACUCGGUUCAGCUGACGAUAAUCGAUACAUAACCGAAGAGUGCCAUCCUUCUUCUUUACAAAUAGGACUGGUGCUCCCCAAAGAGAAGUGCUAGGGCAAAUAAAACCCUUAUCUACCAAAUCUUGCAACUAGACUUUCAGUUCCUUCAACUCCACUGGAGCCAUUCGAUACGGAGGAAGGGAAAUAGGUGUAGUACUCGGGAGUAGAUCAGAAUUUUGAAGUACAACUUCUUUCCAAAAACAAUCCACGUUCGCCCGAUGUGCAGUUAAUCAGUCCAUACCCAAUAUUAAAUCGAAAUCCUGGAUCUCUAGAGGAAUUAAAUCACCUCUAAAUUCUUCCUCACCAACCAUUACCCCACAGUCUCUAUAACAAGUGUUUCUAACUAGCUUUUCUCCUAAAGAGGUGUGAACUACAAUUUCUUCCUCUAAUGGUGACAGGUUUCUAUCAAAAAAUGAUGCAAAUGUCGUGCUCACAUAAGACCUGUCCGAGCCAGAAUCUAUUAAGACAUAUGCAUCUUUAUCAAAUAAAAACAUAGUAUCUGUCACUUCAUUGGGUCGAACCCGUGCCUCAUCCUCCGUCACAGCAAAAACUCUUGUCGAAGAACGAGUCUAUGGUCUAGAGGGUGGAUGUGUCAGGGCGUUACUCUCCACAUCGGACCGUAUGGCUACUCUCUGUCUCAGUGGUAACCCAGAAGAAUCUCUCCUUUGCAUAUCUGUGUGAGCUGGUGGAGAUAGAGUAGCUAUAGUAGCUUGUCCAAACCGUGGGCAAGUACUCCUAAUAUGACCCGGUUGACCACAAUGAAAACAUCGUACAGGCUCCCUACACAGCCCAACAUGAUAUUUCUCACAAUUUCUGCGUCUAUUAGAACCUCCAAAACUCUUCGUAGGAAUAGUUAUCACAAAUCUGCUGAAUCUCAGAGGCCUCUGCUGAGGCUGUGGAAAUGGGGGCGGGAAGAUGCUACGGAAGCAGAGGUAAUACUCCUUGAAGCACAUAAAUCCUUGCCUUUUCUAGGUGGCUGACUGGAUGAUGUAUUUGGAUUCCUUCUCUUAGCAAACUCAACCUGAAUCCUCCUAUUCUCAGUCGCAAGCUUCUCAGCCCGUAGAGCCAUCUACACAACCUCUUUAUACUACUCCUUACUUGUCACUGUCAUGCACUCUCUAAUUUCAUUUCGGAGCCCUUCCUCGAAGUAGUUAGCCUGAUCCUACUCGAUUUUCACCAGAUCAGGCAAAUAAGACAUUAGCUCGUUAAAACGAGCCUCAUACUUCUCUAUUGUUAAAUUUCCCUGUUUCAGACUUAAGAACUCUCUCUUCUUUUCCUUUUGAUGAAAAUAAGUGUAAUAUUGGCCAUCGAACUCCCUUAGAAAAUCUGACCAAGUCAAAGGAGUAGUAGAACAAGAUUUUACCGAAUUCCACCAAGUACGGGCCCUCUUUUCAAGUAGUCUUAUGGCCACCAUCAAUUUCAUGUCAUCAUCCAAUUUCAUAUCCGUAAGUGUGUCUGAUACCUAAAUGAUCCAGUCUUUAGCUGCGGUUGCAUCCAGAUCACCCGUAAAAGAAAUGCAACCCAACUGCCUAGCCUCCUUAAGUUUCUUAGAAAUGGAUACAUCAGGUACCUGUGGUGGAACAGGAGGUGGUGGUGGUGGCACUGAAUGAGCGACCGGAGGAAUAGCAGAAGAGCUUGACCAGGCUGAGCCUGGCCAGUAAUAGCAGUGAGGAAAGUUACCAAUGCCUGAACUACCUCAGAAGACAUGGCAGGAAUACCAGUAGGUGGUGGAGGAUGUGGAGGAUGUGGAGGAGUCUCGGUUUGCUCAGCAGCAGGUGUUGCCCGAAAAGUGGAUGCAGUCGAUUCCCCCUCUACAGUAUCUGGCUGACGAUGUUGAGAACGACCUCUUCCCCUCCCAGCCGAUCUGGUGAGAGUUGGGUGUUCACGUCGAUGAGGCAUAAUGAUCUAUAAGAAGAGACAGAAUGAAUUUAGACAACUUUAGGUUCUAUAUGCAAUUGUAUGCAUUCAACUCAAUCUAAUCUAACUUAACUUAGGGCCACAUUGACAUUGUAAUUUUUAAAACAACUUUAAAACCAAAAGAUCUAAUACCAAUCAAAUUGUCAUGACCUAGUACUCUCCUCGAGCCCGUGAAAAUAGUAGUAAUGUCCCGAUAGACAUUCAUUACCCUGAAUGCCAAUCGAAACCUCGCAAGGCUUAAUAUCAGUUUUCGCAUCUCCCCUGUGAGCAAUAAUUACUAAAUAUCAUAUUUUAAAAGAUUAUAAGCUAUUUCCAAAUCAAAACAAUAAUAAAAAAAAUUUUCUGUCUCACAAGGGCAUUUUGGUCAUUUUUCUCAAAAAUUUUGAAACCUACUAAAAAUAUAACAUAUAGGGGAAAAUACACAUUUCAUAACUAAAAACAAGUUUUUAUGUCUAAAACAUUCAUUUAGGGUGAAAUUGUAGCUAAUAGAAUAAAAUAAAAAUAUUAAAUAAAAUAUUCUAUUUUCUUAUAAAAUAAUAUUAAUAGAACUCUGCGUAAAUAAUUUUUUUAGCGUAAAAGCAAAAUAAAUCCAUACAUACAGUAACACAGAUAACCAGAGUAUGUAACUUAAUUUACAAUGACAUGUAGGCCCCCGAAUGACCAAAGGUAACAAAAGCUGUGGACUUAUAAUUUCAAAGGAGGCAAGUCCAAUAAUAACCCUCGAUGUAAUCAACUAUUUAUGGAAUGUCUUGAUCCUAGAAUGAGUGGAAAGGAGGGUGGUGAGUUUAUAUAAACUCAGUGAGUAAACAAACAGCAUCUAAAAUAUCUAAAAUCGAGUAAAUGGAGACAACUUAAAAUAGUUCAUCGUACUAUGAUUCAUAACGUUUCAAACUCAUUUCAACUAAAUAAAAUAAUUUCAUUUCACUCAAAUAAUCAACAUGGCUUAUGAAUUUCUUAAAAAUUUGGCUCGUACCAAAACUCAUUCUCGGGGAUACCUUGGUUGGGGCAUCAAACCGAGUCCACCAAGGCUAUUAAAGAAAAGUUUAUAUACGCAUAAAACACAGUUUUACGUUUAAAAGCAUAGUCGUUCCUUGGCAUUGGCUGAGUUCACCUUCACGUGGUGGUUUAGCGUGUAGUGAACUCUAAAGCUUUACCUUAGGAGAUACCCUCCGCGCCUCUCGUACCAAGGUAAAAUAUAACUGGGUUUACCGUGCUCCUCUCUAAUAGGUUGGUCCACAAAAACCCACCACUGCAGUGACUAAUCAAUAUCCCACCAAAUCAAUAAAAGUUUCGACAGCAUGACAAGGCAAUUAUAUUACUACCCAGCCUGUUAAGACAAAACAAACAGUUCAUACAAUUUCAACACAAUUUCCAAUUCAGCCAUUCAUGCCAAUAUCACCAUAAGCCAUUCAAUUCAAACCAUAAAUUUACAACACAAUCAAACAGUCUCCAAUUACUCAAUUUUUAAAAUCAUCAUUCAAUUUUAAAAUGAUUUAUAAACCUCAUUUCAUUUAAUCACAUUUUACUUAUAAAAUAUAAGGAUUUACCAUUUAAACUCAUUUUUCUAUAAAAUCACAAAAACGAAUAAAAACUACUUUAGAUAAUUAAGACAAUAAUAAAGUUACUCACAAUAUCGGGAGUCGAAGUACCCCUACUCCCAAUCUUCGGGUAUAAUAUCCUUACCCUUAUCCGAAGUUUCACCACCUAAACAUAAUGCACAACAAGCAAUUUACUAUAUUUGUACUAAACCGUUAUAAAACUAAUUUAGGCUCUAUAUGAAUGCAUGAAAUGGGAUGCGAAAUGUUCGGUUUAUUAUCUAAAUAUUGUGUUUCUACGUAGCUUCAAUUAUGUAUCGAAAUAAAAUGGUAUUGGCCUAAUUCGAUCUAUACACCGGUUAAUUGGCCAAUACAUCCAAUUCAACUCCAAUUAACUUGAUUCCACUUCCAACACUCCAAGUCAUCAAUUACAAGUUAAAUAAUAUGUAAUAUCACAAAAGUCCAUCAUCAAUAUCUUCCUUGUAAAAUUCGGCCAUUGAAGGUUUAGUGUAGAACAUGUAAUUUUUCAUGCUUGAUUUUUACACCUUAUAUCAUAAAACAACUAAAAACACCUAAAUAGCAUGAAAUUCAUCAAAGUCCAUUAUCCAAUUUCUCUCUUGAAAAUUUCAGCCAAUGACUGUGGGUGAGGGGCAUGAAAUUUCUUGCUUGUUUUUCAUGCUAAACAUCACCAAACAACUAAAAACAACUAAAUACCUUGAAAUCUAACCAAAUAAAUCAUCAAAUCUUCUCUCCCUAAAUUCGGUCAGCCAUGAAUCCUUCAUGAGAUCUUGAAUUUUAACCAUGGUAAUUGAAAAAGAAUGCAUAGGAAAGGUAGAUCACAAGCUAGAAUUAAGAAAUUUUACCUUUACUUGCUUAAUUCCUUGAAAUCCAAUGAAUUUUCUCUUGAUUUUCUUCUCUAGGGUUUGUUCUAUGCUUUUUCCCUUUUGUUCUUGCCUUGGCCGGC
Molecule: long non-coding RNA, 13241 nt
Filed under: Theobroma cacao (cacao)
Lineage: Eukaryota; Viridiplantae; Streptophyta; Magnoliopsida; Malvales; Malvaceae
Description: long non-coding RNA (TCAC_LNC000422)
Source: RNAcentral